UUUGCACACUGCCAGACCCAGAAGUUGGGUGGGAGACCUGUUUCUUUAGAAGGCAACGUCCUGGGUCCCAGGAAAUAAAGGAAAAGAAGAAAUUCUGUAAAACAUAUAUAGAAGACCUUGUGAAGGAAGCCACAGAAAUCAACAUGAAAAAUGAGGCUUUGCAGAAGCUUUGGCCACAGAUGUUCAUUGAGCUUGUUAGGGAUGCAGUCAUAGAAAUUCGCAAUAAAAAUUCCUAUAUGAAGCUCUGCCUACAGCAGAUAACAGACCAAAAAUAAAAAUGGCCUUUAGUUACUGUUGAUUUUGGCAGUUUUAUUUUUUGAAGGUUGAAAAUAUGCAGAUUAUACAUGUUAAAACAACAACAACACUAUCGUAUAAACUAGAAAGACUAGUGUAAAAGCAUUAUUGCCCACUGUUCUCAUAGCUAAAAGUUAAGAAGGAAAGCAGGAGAAAGGAAGGAUUAAUUGCCUGUAUGUGAUGACCAAACAACCUUUGGAAGCUAAGCAGUUUUCAGAGAUGGCGUGGCACUGCAUCCUUGGUUCUUGCUUUGAUUGGUGCCCUGCUAUAGCCCAAAGCACGUAGUAUUUGCUGAUGAUUCAGCAUGAGCUGCAUCUACCUACUUUUAGCUGAUAAUUUUCAGUUAUUUCCCUUUUUAUUUUAUGUCAUGAUUUCAAAGCCAAAAAUAUGUUCUUUUUAUGAGUGAAGAAUAAACUUACUAACAAAUUAGUCAAAA
This 730-nucleotide small RNA is filed under the name Pan troglodytes (chimpanzee). RNAcentral describes it as "processed transcript". Lineage: Eukaryota; Metazoa; Chordata; Mammalia; Primates; Hominidae. The record is from RNAcentral.